RNAcentral lists this ribosomal RNA (218 nucleotides) under uncultured bacterium. Its description in RNAcentral is "partial 16S ribosomal RNA". It matches the Rfam family "Bacterial small subunit ribosomal RNA", at positions 524 to 739 of the family's 1533-position model. The record is from RNAcentral.
UACGUAGGGUGCGAGCGUUGUCCGGAAUUAUUGGGCGUAAAGAGCUCGUAGGCGGUGUGUCACGUCGGCCGUGAAAACCUGCAGCUUAACUGUGGGCGUGCGGUCGAUACGGGCAUCACUGGAGUUCGGCAGGGGAGACUGGAAUUCCUGGUGUAGCGGUGAAAUGCGCAGAUAUCAGGAGGAACACCGGUGGCGAAGGCGGGGUCUCUGGGCCGUAA